UACAGAGGUCCCGAGCGUUGUUCGGAUUCACUGGGCGUAAAGGGUGCGUAGGUGGUGAGGUAAGUCGGAUGUGAAAUCUCCGAGCUCAACUCGGAAAUGGCAUUGGAAACUACCUUGCUCGAGGGUUGGAGGGGGGACUGGAAUACUUGGUGUAGCAGUGAAAUGCGUAGAUAUGCGGAGGAACACCGAUGGCGAAGGCAAUCCCCUGGGCCUGCACUGACGCUCAUGCACGAAAGCGUGGGGAGCAAACAGG
Molecule: ribosomal RNA, 253 nt
Filed under: uncultured bacterium
Lineage: Bacteria
Description: partial 16S ribosomal RNA
Rfam family: Bacterial small subunit ribosomal RNA
Source: RNAcentral